This 72-nucleotide transfer RNA is filed under the name bacterium. RNAcentral describes it as "tRNA-Cys". It matches the Rfam family "tRNA". Rfam says of the family: Transfer RNA (tRNA) molecules are approximately 80 nucleotides in length. Their secondary structure includes four short double-helical elements and three loops (D, anti-codon, and T loops). The record is from RNAcentral. RNAcentral also lists the same sequence under 7 other names.
GGCGGCAUAGCCAAGUGGUAAGGCAGAGGUCUGCAAAACCUCUAUCCCCCAGUUCGAAUCUGGGUGCCGCCU